Molecule: non-coding RNA, 1673 nt
Organism: Prunus avium (sweet cherry)
Lineage: Eukaryota; Viridiplantae; Streptophyta; Magnoliopsida; Rosales; Rosaceae
Source: RefSeq, a predicted model, not a curated record
AUAAUUAAAUUAUCUUUAACCAAAAAAAAAUUUAUUUAUUCAGAAACCAUUUAAGCAAUUAUUCUUAAUUUUCCAUAAAACGUUUUUGCCAUAGAGGAGUGACUAAACAAGCAUCACAGUAAAAAAAGGCCAGAAACAAAGAAACAACCCAAGUUUGGUCCACAACUAGCAACUGCAGAUCAACUAAAUACCCAAAUAUUGGGAACUAAAAGAGCUAAUUUUCAUAUCCUUGCUACCAUUUCUCAACAAGGUUCGGUACCAAUUUUGGAAAAAGAAAUCAAGGGAAGGAAAAUGAACAUACAGGGUAGAGAGCAUUGGGCAUUCUAAUUAAGCUAAUCCAUCGACCCAGAGCCACACAAAAGCAUAAUCAACCAAACAGAAUCAAUUACACAUAACCAAAAUCAACACACAAGCAACUUACUGAGAUGGAGUGGGAGGAUGACGAUGAGGCAGCAGUUUGCGAUGACAUGCCCAGCUCUAGUGAAAACCAAACCAAAUAAACAUUUUGUCCCCUAAGAAAAAUGGUGCUGUUCCAGCGUCUAGUAACCCAGAGGUGUCACAUGCCCUAAAUUAUGUUGCUUCACCAAAAUUCCCCCAAAAAAGCCCACAACAUAGCUCGAGGGUAUUAAUGUAAAAACUCACUACCAGAACCUGCCAAAUGUCAAAUCAUAAUUAGGGGUGGGCACAGUCCGGUGCAGAGCUCGAAUUAGAACUGAAAUUAGUACUGUUUAUUUGGUCCGGUCCGGUUCAAUUUUUAGUAAACAUCGGACCAAAUCGAACUGGUUGGCCCAAUUCGGUUUUCCAAUUUGGGCUGGGUUUUCUUUUUUUGGGGUAAAAAAUCUGUUUGUGUGCUUCAGUAGCAUAUAAGAUAAAGCCUUGUUUCAGAUUCCUGUAAAAAUUUGAGACCGUGAAGAAGGAUGGUAGCAAAUCUUUGACAAGUAAAAAGAGAGCUAGGUGCAAGUAUUGCCUUAUUAGUUAUGUCGCGGACCCUAAUGUGAAUGGGAUGUCAAGUUUGAAGAAACAUAUUGAGUCUAUAUGUAAGAAAUUCCCUGGGAGUGUUGGAAAGGAUAAAAGGCAAAAGAUCUUGUCGUUUGACCAAGCAAACAAACAGAUUUUUUAUCCCAAAAUAAAUAAAUAAAAAAUCGGCCCAAAUCGGAAAACCGAAUCGGGCCAACCAGUUCGGUUUGGUCCCCUUUUUUUCCUGUUUUUACUAAAAUUCGAAUCGGACCUGACCGAAUGAACAAUGCUAAUUUCGGUUCUACUUUGAGCUCUGCACCGGACCGAACCGGACUGUGCCCACCCCUAAUUUUGGUUUGACAUUUGGCAGGUUCUGGUGGUGAGUUUUUACAUUAAUACCCUCGAGCUGUGUUGUGGUUGGCUUUUUUCAGGGAAUUUUGGUGAAGCAACAUAGUUUAGGGCCUGUGACACCUCUGGGUUACUAGACGUUGGAACGGCGCCGUUUUUCUAAGGGGCAAAAUGUUUAUUUGGUUUGGUUUUCACUAGGGCUGGGCAUUUCAUCGCAAACUGCUGCCUCAUCGUCAUCCUCCCACUCCAUCUCUUUGAUUUUCUCCAGUUAUUGUUGCAGUCAAGGUUCGUUCUUCAUUACCGGCUGAAGGUGAUCCAAGUUUUUAAGUUAGACAUCUCCAAACUGAAGCAGUGGAUUUUUACUUUGG